GGCGUCAUAGAGGGUGAGAAUCCCGUACGCGACCGAUCGCCCACCCCGUGUGAGGCCCUUCGACGAGUCGAGUUGUUUGGGAAUGCAGCUCUAAAUGGGUGGUAAAUUUCAUCUAAAGCUAAAUACGGGCCGGAGACCGAUAGCGCACAAGUAGAGUGAUCGAAAGAUGAAAAGCACUUUGGAAAGAGAGUCAAACAGUACGUGAAAUUGUUGAAAGGGAAGCGCUGGCGACCAGACUUGCCCGCGGGUGAUCAUCCGCCCUCGGCGGUGCACGCGCCCGCGUCAGGCCAGCAUCGGUUCUGGCGGCCGGACAAGGGCCCGGGAACGUGGCUUCCCUCGGGGAGUGUUAUAGCCCGGGCCGCCAUGCGGCCAGCCGGGACCGAGGACCGCGCUCCGGCUAGGAUGCUGGCGUAAUGGUUGUCAGCGACCCGUCUUGAAACACGGACCAAGGAGUUGAACAGUUGUGCGAGUGUUUGGGUGCCAAACCCAUGCGCGCAAUGAAAGUGAACGCAGGUGGGAACCCGGGCGCACCAUCGACCGAUCCUGAUGUCUUCGGAUGGAUUUGAGUACGAGCACAACCGUUCUGACCCGAAAGAUGGUGAACUAUGCCUGAAUAGGGUGAACCAGAGGAAACUCUGGUGGAGGCUCGCACGGUUCUGACGUGCAAAUCGAUCGUCAAAUUUGGGCAUAGGACUAAUCGAACCAUC
This 707-nucleotide ribosomal RNA is filed under the name Steinera intricata. RNAcentral describes it as "partial large subunit ribosomal RNA". It matches the Rfam family "Eukaryotic large subunit ribosomal RNA", at positions 199 to 944 of the family's 3401-position model. Lineage: Eukaryota; Fungi; Ascomycota; Lecanoromycetes; Arctomiales; Arctomiaceae. The record is from RNAcentral.